RNAcentral lists this ribosomal RNA (358 nucleotides) under uncultured bacterium. RNAcentral's name for it is "bacterial SSU rRNA". It matches the Rfam family "Bacterial small subunit ribosomal RNA", at positions 29 to 377 of the family's 1533-position model. The record is from RNAcentral.
AACGAACGCUGGCGGCGCGCCUAAUACAUGCAAGUCGAGCGAGAAGACGUAGCAAUACGUUUGUAAAGCGGCGAACGGGUGAGGAAUACAUGGGUAACCUACCCUCGAGUGGGGAAUAACUAGCCGAAAGGUUAGCUAAUACCGCGUACGCUCCUUGGACUUCGGUUCAGGGAGGAAAGCGAUACCGUGGGUAUCGCGCUCUUGGAUGGGCUCAUGUCCUAUCAGCUUGUUGGUGAGGUAACGGCUCACCAAGGCUUCGACGGGUAGCUGGUCUGAGAGGACGAUCAGCCACACUGGCACUGCGACACGGGCCAGACUCCUACGGGAGGCAGCAGUAAGGAAUAUUGCGCAAUGGGCG